This 505-nucleotide long non-coding RNA is filed under the name Vigna radiata. Its description in RNAcentral is "long non-coding RNA (VRAD_LNC011730)". The record is from RNAcentral. Lineage: Eukaryota; Viridiplantae; Streptophyta; Magnoliopsida; Fabales; Fabaceae.
ACAACACCCACAUAACACCUUGAUCUCUCUUCAACCCAAAACUCACAUAGAACCCCAUUUUCAUCAAACAACCAACCAAAAUGAAAAGAAAAACGUGAAUAACAGCAGCAAUGAAAGAGGAAACAAAAAUCUAAAGUCACCCAAACCCAACAACCACCAUGGAAAAGCAAAGACAAGCUUAAGAGCUCAAGCUUCAAACAUCAACAACAAGGAAAUGGAAGAAGGAAUGAAAGGAUUUUCACCACCAAUGAGUUAAGACAACCAACAGUAAAUCAAGGGAAGAAGAAAAUCUGCAUCAAUUCAUUGAAAAUGGUCCAAAACCGUGGCACCAAGCAAGCACCCAUGAGAGCAUGUUCAAACAAGAGAAACCCUAGGAGAAUGUAAGCCGAAAACGUAGUAUAUGGGUUUCUAAGUGUGUGGCUCGGUAUUCACACCCUAUAUGACCAAGAAUUACAAUUUGGUAGGGUCCACACACUACAAGUCAGCCCUAAAGAGAUGCCACAUG